RNAcentral lists this unclassified non-coding RNA (260 nucleotides) under plant metagenome. RNAcentral describes it as "partial contains small subunit ribosomal RNA, internal transcribed spacer 1, and 5.8S ribosomal RNA". The record is from RNAcentral.
UUUCCGUAGGUGAACCUGCGGAAGGAUCAUUACCGAAUUGUUAAACGGGUUGUUGCUGGUCUUCAAACGGGGACAUGUGCACGCUCUGUUUACACAUCCACUCACACCUGUGCACCCUCCGUAGUUCUAUGGUCUGGGGGACCCUGUCUUCCUGGCGUGGUUCUACGUCUUUACACACACUCUGUAAUAAAGUCUUAUGGAAUGUAUGCCGCGUCUAACGCAAUACAAUACAACUUUCAGCAACGGAUCUCUUGGCUCUC